This 72-nucleotide transfer RNA is filed under the name Deltaproteobacteria bacterium. RNAcentral's name for it is "tRNA-Ala". It matches the Rfam family "tRNA". From Rfam's summary of the family: Transfer RNA (tRNA) molecules are approximately 80 nucleotides in length. Their secondary structure includes four short double-helical elements and three loops (D, anti-codon, and T loops). The record is from RNAcentral. Lineage: Bacteria; Pseudomonadati; Myxococcota; Myxococcia.
GGGGUUGUAGCUCAGCGGUAGAGCAUAGGCUUUGCAAGCCUGGGGUCAUCGGUUCAAAUCCGUUCAACUCCA